CGCGUAGGCGGCUUUGCGUGUCUUCCGUGAAAUCCCUCGGCUCAACUGAGGACGUGCGGAAGAAACUGCGAGGCUCGAGUCCGGGAGAGGAGGGUGGAAUUCCCAGUGUAGCGGUGAAAUGCGUAGAUAUUGGGAGGAACACCGGUGGCGAAGGCGGCCCUCUGGACCGGUACUGACGCUGAUGCGCGAAAGCGUGGGAGCAAACG
This 206-nucleotide ribosomal RNA is filed under the name uncultured bacterium. Its description in RNAcentral is "partial 16S ribosomal RNA". It matches the Rfam family "Bacterial small subunit ribosomal RNA", at positions 568 to 774 of the family's 1533-position model. The record is from RNAcentral.